RNAcentral lists this long non-coding RNA (307 nucleotides) under Eucalyptus grandis. Its description in RNAcentral is "long non-coding RNA (EGRA_LNC005084)". Lineage: Eukaryota; Viridiplantae; Streptophyta; Magnoliopsida; Myrtales; Myrtaceae. The record is from RNAcentral.
GAUGCGAUCUCGACAUGCUUGCGCACGAAUCCGAGCGCAUUCCGCGACUCGGUGGUCAUCCGGAGGGACGAAUCCAGCCGAGCCGACAUGAACCGGAGGCUUGAGAAUGCGGCGGAGCCUGCGAGCUCUCGCGGUGGUGUGCACGGCUCCGACGAGGAGGAAGAAGGGAAUACGGUCAUGUUCCCCUGUGGCGGCGUCCAUGGCCACUUACGGUGCGGAACAAUCAUAAAAACUUUUGCAAACGACACUCUCGAAAUGGAAGAAAGAUAGGGUAAUAUAUACAGAGAGGAUAUAUGUUUGGAGAUGC